Andrographis paniculata is the source of this 1505-nucleotide RNA transcript. RefSeq lists it as uncharacterized. The transcript is spliced from 6 exons. Lineage: Eukaryota; Viridiplantae; Streptophyta; Magnoliopsida; Lamiales; Acanthaceae. The record is from RefSeq and is a predicted model, not a curated record.
CAAACACUUAGCCAUAAAAUUUACAGAUAGAAAUGCAAGCUUGCUUUCCUACACUGAUUCACUAAUGGCUUCUGCCUUGUCUUCAUCUGCUGCUGCUAUUCUGGCGUCUGCUUCUUCUCCAAAUUCAAUCCUCAAUUCAUCGCCACCCAAAUCUCUCUUCAAUUCCACAUGCCCCCAAUUCAUCGCAUUAGACACACAAUCUGCGUUGUUGGCAGGUGCGCUACGGAAAUUGAAUCCCUAUGUUCGUUCUCUUCGGCGCGACGAGCCUUGUUCUAUUUGCUUCUCCCGUGUUGUUUCCAGGUUAACUAUAAUAAGGGCAUAUGGUGGGAGUGAUUCGGCGAACACUCCAGAUAGGAAAGAUGAAGAGGAUGAUGACCAAAGAGAAGAGGUUUUGUACGAUACACCGCCAAGUUAUGAAAGUUAUGGUGAUGGAGUUGAGAUAGCAGUGGAAAAGAUAGGCAGGAACCAACGGAGAAUUAGAUCAAAGGUAGCCGUGCAGGCCAGCCUUCAAACAGUUUGGGAUAUAUUGACUGAUUAUGAAAGAUUGGCUGAUUUCAUUCCAGGUCUAGCGGUUAGCCAGUUGCUUGAGAAGGGAGAAAAAUUUGCUCGACUCUUUCAGGUUGGUGAGCAGAACUUGGCAUUUGGCCUGAAAUUCAAUGCAAGAGGUACUAUAGAUUGUUUUGAGAGAGAUGUGCAGACACUUCCCUUUGGCCAGCAGCGCGACAUCGACUUUAAGAUGGUUGAAGGUGACUUCCAACUCUUUGAAGGAAAAUGGUCAGUCGAACAGGAGACGAAGAAUCUGAAUGGUGGAGAUUUACGUAGUGAUUCCAAUAUGGAUCAAGAAUUUCAAACAACACUUCACUAUGUUGUUCGCGUUAAACCUAAAGUCUGGUUGCCUGUGCACCUUAUUGAGGGUAGACUCUGCAAGGAGAUAAUGAAAAAUCUGUCGAGCAUACGGAAAGAAGCUGAGAAAGCUUUCCAGACGACACAAACGGCACUAUAGACAGACAGUCGAAUCUUUUCCCAUGUCUUGUUGCUUCCCUCCGGAUUCGCCGUGAGUAAACCACUGGCAAUUGAUCCUCCCGACAUUGUUAAGAUUCGUCGUGGAAAGAUUCAAAUAUGCUUCCGGGAAGAUUGAAGACGCAGCCUCGUCUUGAAAGAUCCUUCCUUAGCUUCUUUCAGAAAAGAAACAUUCUUAAUUUCCUCGACUUAUGCAAGAAUUUAAGGAUGUCUCACAUUGUCUUGUCCCCGACUGGCUCCAUCCUGGUACGUGUCUAUAUGAAACUCAAUCUAUAAUGUAUUGAUGGUGUUGUUGCUGCGCAGGAGUACUCUUGCCUGCAAUGCUGGAUUUGGACAGAUGCAUCGAAUUUGAUUGCGUUGCACGCUAGAUCGAGACACCGGAUUCGAACGGUAAGUAUAGUGUUACAAUUUAAUUUUGAAGAAAAAUGCUAGAUGUUGUGUUGUUGGCCGAUUCAACUAUUUGGUUAUGCAAGUUUAUUCGAAAA